Molecule: non-coding RNA, 73 nt
Organism: Rhipicephalus sanguineus (brown dog tick)
Lineage: Eukaryota; Metazoa; Arthropoda; Arachnida; Ixodida; Ixodidae
Source: the annotation of a RefSeq genome assembly
UCCGUCGUAGCUCAAUUGGUAGAGCAUCGGACGCCUAAUUCGAAGGUUGUGGGUUCGGAUCCCGCCGAUGGAA